AUGGCAGCCUUCAGGAUCGCCUCUCUCUCCCUCCUUCCCUUCCUCCUCCUCGCCGUCGUCGCCGCGGGGGAGGGCGCCGGCGAUGAGCGCAGCACGUUCAUCGUGCACGUGCAGCCCCAGGCGAGCCACGUGUUCGGCACGGCCGACGACCGCAAGGCCUGGUACAACUCCUUCCUCCCCGAGAACGUCCGGCUCCUCCACGCCUACCACCACGUCGCCAGCGGCUUCGCGGUCCGGCUGACGCGGCGGGAGCUCGACAAGAUGUCCGCCAUACCCGGGUUCGUCGCCGCGGUGCCCGACCGGGUUUACAAGCUGCACACCACGCACACGCCGCGGUUCCUCGGGCUGGACGCGCGCCAGGGCGGCAGGAACUACUCGGCCGGAUCCGGCGAUGGCGUCAUCAUCGGGGUGCUCGACAGCGGCGUCACUCCCGACCACCCCUCCUUCAGCGGCGAUGGCAUGCCGGCGCCGCCCGCCAAGUGGAAGGGGAGGUGCGACUUCAACGGCCGCUCCGUGUGCAACAACAAGCUCAUCGGCGCUCGCGUUUUCGACACUGCCGUCAGUGCUGGGAACGGCACCACCUCUACCGGUGCGCCGCUGUCGCCGAUCGACGAGGAUGGGCACGGCACGCACACGUCGAGCACGGCGGCGGGAGCAGUCGUGCCAGGCGCCCAGGUGCUUGGCCAGGGGAGGGGCACCGCGUCCGGGAUAGCGCCCCGCGCGCACGUCGCAAUGUACAAGGUGUGCGGCCUGGAGGACUGCACCAGCGCCGACAUACUCGCCGGCAUCGACGCUGCCGUGGCUGACGGCUGCGACAUCAUCUCCAUGUCCCUCGGCGGGCCGUCGUUGCCGUACCCCGAGGACAGCAUCGCCGUCGGCACGUUCGCCGCCGCAGAGAAGGGGAUUUUCGUCAGCAUGUCAGCCGGCAACUCCGGCCCAAACUACACCACGCUGUCGAACGAGGCGCCCUGGAUGCUCACCGUCGCCGCGAGCACCAUGGACCGUUUGAUCAGAACCAGGGUGCGCCUUGGGAACGGUCUCUACUUCGAUGGCGAGUCCGUGAACCAGCCGGACGCUGCGGCGACCGUCUUCUACCCGCUGGUCUACGCCGGCGCGAGCUCCACGCCAGACGCGCAGUUUUGCGGCAACGGCUCGCUGGACGGCUUCGAUGUCAAGGGCAAGAUAGUGGUCUGUGAGCGCGGCAAUGACGUCGGUAGGGUUGACAAAGGCGCCGAGGUGGUAAGAGCCGGAGGCGUCGGCAUGAUUCUGGCCAACCAGGCCAUUGACGGCUUCAGCACCAUCGCCGACGUGCAUGCCCUCCCAGCGUCGCAUGUCAGCUACCACGCCGGAGACGCAAUCAUGAACUACAUCAAGUCGACGGCGAGACCGAUGGCGCAAAUCAUGUUCAGGGGAACGGUCCUCGGCACGUCGCCGGCCCCGGCUAUCACUUCCUUCUCCUCGCGCGGGCCAAGCUUGCAGAACCCCGGCAUUCUGAAGCCCGACAUCACGGGCCCCGGCGUUAGCGUGCUCGCGGCGUGGCCAUUCCAGGUAGGUCCACCCUCGUUGGCCGGGAAGUACUCCGGGCCGACAUUCAACUUCGAGUCCGGAACGUCCAUGUCGGCGCCGCACCUCAGCGGCAUCGCCGCGUUGAUCAAGAGCAAAUACCCGGACUGGUCGCCGGCGGCGAUCAAGUCCGCCAUCAUGACAACCGCCGACAGCACGGACCGCUCCGGCAUGCCGAUAACCGACGAGAAGGGGACGGCGGCGGACCUCUUCGCCCUUGGUGCCGGCCAUGUCGACCCGGACAAGGCCAUGAACCCCGGCCUGGUAUACGACAUCACCCCGGCCGAUUACAUCGGCUUCCUCUGCGGCAUGUACACGGGCAAGGAAGUCUCCGUGAUCGCGCGCCGUGCAGUGGACUGCUCGGCCGUCAAGGUGAUCCCGGACCGCCUGCUGAACUACCCGUCGAUCUCCGUCACGUUCCCCUCGUCGUGGAACCCGAUGACUCCGAUGGUGGUUACACGCAAGGUGAGGAACGUCGGAGAGGCGCCGGCGGUGUACUACCCCCAGUUCGACUUGCCGGACAACUCUAUGAACGUCACCGUCAUGCCGAGCUCGCUGCGGUUCACUGAGGCGAACCAGGUGAAGGUUUUCAAGGUGACCGUGUCGCCGAGGAGCAGCGGCGAUGCGGUGGUGGUGCAGGGAGCGCUCCGGUGGGUGUCGGACAAGCACACCGUAAGAAGCCCCAUGUCCGUCGCCUUCGCCGGACACUAG
RNAcentral lists this ribosomal RNA (2274 nucleotides) under Triticum aestivum (bread wheat). RNAcentral describes it as "partial small subunit ribosomal RNA". Lineage: Eukaryota; Viridiplantae; Streptophyta; Magnoliopsida; Poales; Poaceae. The record is from RNAcentral.